CGGCAACAGCUCAAAUUUGAAAUCCGGCUCUCGGGCCCGAGUUGUAAUUUGUAGAGGGCGCUUUGGCGUUGGCAGCGGUCUAAGUUCCCUGGAACAGGACGUCACAGAGGGUGAGAAUCCCGUAUGUGGUCGCUGGCCUUCGCCGUGUAAAGCCCCUUCGAC
Molecule: ribosomal RNA, 162 nt
Filed under: Pyrenochaeta sp.
Lineage: Eukaryota; Fungi; Ascomycota; Dothideomycetes; Pleosporales; Cucurbitariaceae
Description: partial large subunit ribosomal RNA
Rfam family: Eukaryotic large subunit ribosomal RNA
Source: RNAcentral